UUCUUUUGGUCUCCGCUCUAGAGAGUUCUCUGCUACUCUGAAGCUCUGCUGCCUCUGAAAACCCGUCAGUUCUGCCAUUCUUUUUGUUUUCCGGGACUCGAACCGUGGACUCUCUUCAAGACUACUCAUGUCAUGAUCAGUUAUCUCUUUCGAACGUUUUAUUACAAGUUUCUUCUGAGGCUGUUCUCUUUCUGUAGGCGGUCGUAUCACCAGGUGAGGCCUACGAGAUUCAGCUUGAUCUCUAUCCAUGCUUGAAGAUGGCUGCAGAAUAGAUAUAGUGUGCCUGCUUGAGGCAGCUUGAUUUCCAGAGACGCAAGGCUUGUGAGAUUCGCUCUCCCCUCUCUCUCUGCUAUAUGUAGGCAAAGGUCUGUCAGAUUCAACAUUCGAUUCUUUAGGUUUUGCCUUGCUUGAAAUCUUGAGUUUGCUGAUCUUAGAUGUGGUCUUGGUCCCAGUGUCUAUGUCCGACACUGCUGCUUGCUCAGAACUUCCUGGAGCUUCUAAACCAGGUGUAUCUGACAUCGCUCCAGCAGGGAUACCAUAUCUAAACUUCAGAGGGAGACCCCCAGUUUUGUAAGUGGAACUAUCUCCCUUGGGAGUUGCAUCUACGGUGACUUUUAUUGCACUUUUCGGCGCAGCCUUGGUGCUCUUGAUAGGUUUAAUCUUGGCCUGACCUGAUAGUUCUGAAGUACUCGGUUUUCCCACGGACUUCUCCAUAUCUACACCUUCGGGUUGUGGAUCUGUAUUUUCUCUGUAUCUUGGGCAGUGUUUAUUGGUUCUCAUGUGCCCAUACUGUCCAUGAAAAUAAAUAAUCAAACACUCCUUUCAAACAAGCAAAGUUUAGAUUCAUAAUCUAGUCACAAAUAAACAGAUAUACCUGACCACAGGCUCCACAAACAAAAUUCUCUCUGGCCGAUUUCUUUUCCUUGAAUACCUUAGACCACGAGAACAGGCAAAACUUCAGAAUUGACCAUAAAACUAUUAGAAUAAAUUUAACUAUACUGUAGAUUGUUAUACUCAUUUAAUUGUACCUUUAGAUUUUCGUUAAGUAUUUUGACUUUCUUAAGCGGGCCCAAAGAAUUGCCAUUGUCUUUAACCUGUUUACCUUUGGGGGUCUUAAUAAUAGGGCUAUCAACCUGCCACUGGAGGGGAAAAUAAAAGUUGUCAACACAUGCAAUCCCUCAAGUUGACAAUCAGAAAAAGGCAAGAGUCAAACUUGUACUGACAUUUCUGGUGUCUCUGAUGGUGCUCUCAUUUACUAAGAAAGAUGCAUCAGGUUGGGUGGCGAUAGGAUUCUCGUCAAUGAAAGUGGCCUUUCUUACAGGCUCUGCAAUUUGAAAACCUAUACUGGGACGUGGAGGAGGAAAGGACCCCAUUCCUUCUCCCACAGCUUUGAUCUUCUUCUUUUUCUUCUUCUGGUCCUCAUCUAAUUAAAUUAACAAAGUCAGUGAUGCGCCGACAAAAAGUUCUUUAGCUAAUAGCACAAAUGCCACACACGUACCUUGCAUCAGUAAUCUGCAUAACUCCGCAUAUUCAGUAGCUUCAUCUUCAAUUUCUUCGUCAGUCUCAACUUGAGAUGGCCUUCGUCUCAUCUUGAGACCCUUAACUCCGUCCAACUUGUCAUUCUUAGACAUGUUAGAUUCUUCCCCCUCCCCACCUUCCUCAGCAUCAAGCAGGUUUUCCAGAUCUCCGGCAAAGGAGUCCAAAUCACUGUUGGCCUCAUUUUCACUUUCAUUCUCAUCACCAUCAUAAGCAGAAAGGGAAGAAAGUUGCUUAUCCCAAAUCUCCUGACACUUUUCUCGAGCCUGCUGUUGCAUCUGCAGGAAAGACAUUCUCUGCCCACGGGCAUACUUGCCUAUAGUUGUAGGGUCAACCUUAACACCAGAUGCCGCCUGCUCACUUGAUAGCUUCCGUAUCAUAGCUAUACGGUGCCAUCGAGUUUGCUUAGCAAUUAUCUCAUCAGGAACAUUGAAUUUGAUAAGAACCUAUAAAGAGAUCAUCCAAACCAAAUCUUAAUUAAGACUUUCACUGGCUUUACAUUAUAGAAGAAAAUUGAAACUUGUAAGAAUGAUGUCCUUUUAAGGUUCCUAGACAUCUGAAAUAAAGAAGUAUACCUCUCGAGCUGCUUCCAUGCUUAAUCUGCGAAGAUCAGCAUCUGUACCAGUGACAGUUGGGGCUCCACGACCAGCUGCUGCCUUUUUCUUCAUAUGCCCGGCCGCAGCUGGUGCUUUUGGUGCAGCUUUGACAAAGCUGAAUCCUAGACCCCGUCCAGAUGGAUCGCCAACCCCAGUAAUUUCCAAACGCUCUAUAUUUGCUCUAUCCUACUCAAACCCACAAAUGAAAACCAGAUAUGUGAGCAUCGGAAAGGUAAAACUAAGGCAUGAGCAAGGACUGAUCAGAAGCAUCAAAUCCAAUUCCACUGACAAGAUUCGGAAACACUUUUCACAAAACUAGUGUACAUGGAGCUGAAAUAGAUUCUAGUGUUGAAAUGAAUGUACUAAUAAUGUCUCAGCCCUGGCAUAUAUAUAAAAACCACGUCUUUACGGAUUAUGGCUGACUCAACCGUAACUCCUAUGUUCCUAACAUAAUAUAUAUAUAUAAGAACUCACUGGCUAUGUAAGCCUUAACAUAGAUAAGUGAUGUUUACCUGAUUUGUACAAGCAACAAAAUUACUGCUCAGAUUCCAUGGCGUUAUCUGCAACUCCCUCUCAAUAUGUGAUGCAGCGGCGAGAGCAAUAGCUUCGUCUGGGAGCUGAGUCAAUGCAGCUGAUAUGCUGGCAGGUAAUGUAAACCGGGUGAUCCCUAAAUGUUUGAGCCGGUACAGCCCAGCUAACAUACUCUCGUAGGAACACACCUAGGCCAACAAAAUAUAGAAAACCAUGCAUCUUAAAGAGUAUAUUUCCGGUAAUAGCAAUCAAAAGCUCAUUAACUGCAAUUCCGAAUAGUGGAAAGCAGACGGGGCAUAUUUCAACCAUGAAAAGAACUUAAAGGGAAAACUAACAUGCUCUGGUGCCACCAGCUUUUUAAGUUCAUUCUCAGGUGGAACUUGAAAAUCAGGUCUCUUGUACCAACAAGGCUGGCCAUUUUUAUCCCUCUGCAUUUUGUACAUUUAUGUAAGGGGUAAGUAUGAUACUAUGAUACAAAGCAUGAUAAAGCAAAAAUAAAAAUAAAAAGAGAGCAACUAUAGAUGCUACUUAUGCAGAAGUGGGAAUUUGAUAAUAUACCUUCAAACCGGCACAAAGUUUCAUGUUCCUUCUGACAACUGCAUCUGUUAAGUUAGAAAAUAAAAAGGACAGCUCAUCUGCAGCAAUUGAGUGGCUCUUCAUAAACUCCCGGUACACAUAAACCAACAUCCUGUUCACCAAAUAAGUCUGUAGAUUCUUUGAUCCAGGAGACAUUACUUCCAUGCGAGGUUCCUGGGAAAAAAAUAAUCUGAGCAUGCCGACUUUAUGAAACCAAAAAAAAAAAUAAGCUGCAGAAUGUCACAAUUAAUUACAAUGCAGGUGGAACUCAUAACCAGACUAAAAUGAGCAUCUCACAUUUAAACACUAACGCCAAAGUACCAACGAAAGUAGCAAAGGUAAAAGCGGUAACGUAAAAGAUAAUAGAAUUUAAUACACCCAGGCUACUAAGCUCCUCUAUUGCGCUACUAAAUCACAAGCAUGAAACAUACAAACUUAUUUUUCUAAUUUUCUGUGUAUAUAUAUAGACAUGCACUGAGACCUUCCUUGGACAAAAAAUCUAAGAGACAAUUCUUGCGAAAGACAAACCUGUUGUCCGACAACAGCUAUCUUGUCAAUACGCCUUAGAGAGAGCUUCCCUUUUGGAGACCGGACCAGCAAAUAAUCUGUUGACUGCAAUCUAUGCGGAAAAACAGGUGCUUUAUACAUGUUUGUUUCAACAGAUGACUGACAGCAACCAGGCUGUAUCUCCCCAAGGAAAGGGGAUUUGUCUCCAGGUUCCAGAAUCAUCACAUUCCCUAAGGUGUCACUUUGAUUGCGCAACAAGUUCCCACGUUGAUCCUCUGAGGAUGACUUCUGAUAAUAUGUACACAAAUUUGCACCCAUUCCUGCAUUGCUGAGCAUCAACGGCCUCUCCUCGCAAUACCUACACAGAUCAAUGAAAAGAAACGGUGACUUCCAAUACGAGUCUUUUCCUGCUGAUGAAACUCCCUGAGCGACUGAAAAUGCCAGGGGCAUUGAAAGAAAAAUCCAGGGAGAUUUGUUCAGUCAAGUUACAGCGAUCACUUUACGGAUUAAAGCAAUCCAGACACAUGUGGUACAAUCGCUUAAGUGAAUAUCUUUUGAGUAAAGGAUAUGUGAAUAAUGCGAUAUGUCCAUGCGUUUUUAUAAAGCACAUCCCUCUAAGAUUUUAUUCAUAUAUACGAGAGCUUGAGAAAAAUAAAGAAGUGGACAUCGAGUAUGUACGGUCAUUCAACAAUCCAGCUAACUUGUUUACAAAAGCUCUUCUGACUACAAUAUUCCGAAAACACGUCUACGGUAUCGGAAUGCGGUAUUUGCGUGACCUGCAACGAGGAAGCUAGGUCCACUACUCUUAGAGGGAAAUUACGACAGUGUAUUCUUUUUUCCUUGUCAUGGUUUUUUGUUCCAGUGGGUUUUUCCAUGACCAGGUUUUUAACGAGGCACCACAUAAUACAAGAUGAAUAAUCAAAGGAGAGUGUUGCAAAGGAUGAUUAAUCAUCUGUAGGACAAAUGUCUCAAGAAUGGCUAUCAUGGUCAUUUACACUUGUCAUUUAUCUAAUUCUUUUUGCAUCAUCAUCAUCUGAACAUUUUGUCUUUUUUUUUUCUAAUGUUGCCGACCUUUUCCACUAUAAAUAGUAGUCCUCCCUCUUUGCAUUUGUAAGGAUGAUAUAAGAAAAUAAUAAAUGAUUAUCUUUCUCCAAGUCUCUAUCACAUCUCUCUCACUCUCACGUUUUGUUUCUCUUCUCCUAUUACACAAAAUCCUUUUUUUCCCACUCAUCUCUCUCACAUCACUUUCACACAUAUAUAUAUAUACAUCCACCUCUCACCCUUUGAUAAAAAAAAAAAAAUCCACCUCUCACCUUAUAUUAUACAACAGACUCCAUAUAUAUUUUUAAACCACUUCCUAUUAUCUCAAUCUUUUUUUUUUGGUAACACUAUUAUCUCAAUCUUCUUAGAAUCCACGUGGCCUGUCUCUACUGCAUCGAUCGUUGAUACAUCGAAAGCUGCAAGAUUACUGAAAGGCGUCUUGUUUAACACCAAGAAUCUGCAACAUAACCCCCGACACUUGGUCCUUAUAUUUUUCUUAGUAAAAAAAUAAUAAGCUACAGCAUGCAGAGAACAUUAUAUUUUAAUAUAUAAAAAUAUAAAAAUAAAAAGAAAUAUGUACGUUUUGCUUAAGAUUUUAUUCACAGGAGACUCAGUUUACGUUCAUGAAUCAUAACGCUCCAGCAUUCACUGAAUAAAAAAAUCCAUCUAAAGAUACAAUCAAAGAACAAUAAGUUAAUGAUAAACCUAUAAAAGAUUCCUAUCAGAAUGAAAACAUCACGGAAUAUGCACCAAAAUCCGGUAAUAAUCGGAAAAUAAAUCUAAAUACAUUUUUCAUUUCUUGUUUUCGACCAAUUUACUUCAACAUUAAAGCUUUUAUCUAGUGCUAACUAUUUGAUAUCAGAGCUUCAUUUAAUAGUGGAAGCUUUGGCACCAAUUGUUAGAUCUAGAUCAAAGUUUCAAAAUAGACGUUAAUUGACAGAAAGAGCUAAUGUUUUUGUCAAAUCAAUUUAAACAUUUUUAUAUACAAAAUGAAGAUUCAACUGUAUGGCAAAAGAUCCUAUAAAAAAGGAAUUCAAAGAUAUUUUCAAAUAAAUCUAGUACUACUAGAAAAGGACCGAUUCUUACUCGUUAAAUAAUGAAACAAAUAAAUGGGAAUUCAACUAAUUCUUAGAAAAUACUCUAAACGUAAACAAGAAUUAUCCAUUUAUGUUUAGCAGAUCUUUUCCUAAUAAAUGAAAUCUUAAGGAAAAGAUAAACGAAUGUAAAAGCAAACAAACAAUCAAGACCAUGUAAAAGAUAAUCUUCUGUUUAUAGAUUACAUGACCAUUAAAAUUUAAAAUAGAAAUAUGAAUGAAUAUGAAAAAAAAAAGAAUAAGAACAAAUAAAAGAAAUAGAAAUAAAUAUUUAUUACUUUUGUUGCAUGUCAAUUUUUAGUCAAUUUUGAUAUAAAAUAUUUUGUUCUAUAGUUCCUUGAAAUAUAAAGACAAGGAAUCAUACACAGCAAAUGUCAAAGAAGAGAUAAUAGAGACGACGCGAAGGUAUUAGAAGCGCCAUGAAGGAUACUCCCGACCAAAACAAAGAUAGAUUGGCAAAUUUAUGUCUCAAUUAACUCCAAAUUUACUAAAUACCAGGGGAUAAGAAAGUAAUAAUUAACAAAAGGCCCAUUCUCAAUGAAAACAAAGUUUUAUACACGACAUUAACACAUCAUAUUUCAAAGUUCUAUUUAAUACCACAAUCAUCACUUUAGUGAAAACCUCAAAAUUUUACAAACAACAAUAGAAAAAAGAAAACAAUUUUCUUUUUACUUACUUGACCUUUACACAGACAGCACAUGACAAUGUUUCUUUUUUUUUUUCAUACAAAUCAUUAGCUAAAGCUAGAAUCCCACUUCUUUUUUAUGGCAUAAAAGAGGAAUGACUAUCUUAAAACACACUCUCUCAGUCAGUGGGAUCUAUCUAUCAAUACCUUUCUCUGCUUCUGCUAACUGAUCUCCAUAAUCUUCUAACAAGUAAUCACAAAUCUCCAGCAACUGAUCUGCCAAAGGCGGUAUCCCUGGGUUACGCCCAUUGUUGUUAUAAAGAUGAGCAUUGAGCUGGAUCUGCCACACAUCGUGUCUAAACUGCUCGCGGUUUCUGUACUCUAUCUUCCGUACCUUAUCCCUGAUUGUCGACAGAUCCAUCGGGCGUUUCACUAUAUCAAAAUAGUCUGGAGCAUCCUUCUUCGAAACCGGUUUCAAGAAGAGCCCUGACACUUCUUCUUUGAGUCUUAGUGUGUCCACAAUGGUUUCCAAGAUGUUUGCUAGCCCAACCUGUUUGUAUAGACGGAGAGAACAGACAGAGAUGAGUUGAAGCUUAAUAUGUAACGCACAUGAUUUGCAAAGAGAAGUUUUACCUCUCCUUUUUUGCGUCUUUUAGGUUGAGGUGCAUAAUCCGCACCAUUCACUUCAAAGUCGGACACAUACCGGCUUCUAACGUUCCGGCCUCUUCUAUCGUUGUUGUUUCUUCGAGGAGGAUAAUCUUCUAGAUACCCUUCUACUAGUUCGGGUUGCAUCUUCUUUUUCUUCUUUUUAUUCUUCGCUUUUUGUCGUUCCUCUUCCUCCCUCUCACUCCGUAGUACCUCUUCGUAUCUCCUGAUCUCAGCUAUCUCGUUGGGUUCUUCUGUUACAUUCAUAUCAUCAUAAUCUCUUCUCCUGCUUAUCUCCUCUUCUUCCCACCACACUCUGUCUUCUUUUGGUCUCCGCUCUAGAGAGUUCUCUGCUACUCUGAAGCUCUGCUGCCUCUGAAAACCCGUCAGUUCUGCCAUUCUUUUUGUUUUCCGGGACUCGAACCGUGGACUCUCUUCAAGACUACUCAUGUCAUGAUCAGUUAUCUCUUUCGAACGUUUUAUUACAAGUUUCUUCUGAGGCUGCUCUCUUUCUGUAGGCGGUCGUAUCACCAGGUGAGGCCUACGAGAUUCAGCUUGAUCUCUAUCCAUGCUUGAAGAUGGCUGCAGAAUAGAUAUAGUGUGCCUGCUUGAGGCAGCUUGAUUUCCAGAGACGCAAGGCUUGUGAGAUUCGCUCUCCCCUCUCUCUCUGCUAUAUGUAGGCAAAGGUCUGUCAGAUUCAACCUUCGAUUCUUUAGGUUUUGCCUUGCUUGAAAUCUUGAGUUUGCUGAUCUUAGAUGUGGUCUUCGUCCCAGUGUCUAUGUCCGACACUGCUGCUUGCUCAGAACUUCCUGGAGCUUCUAAACCAGGUGUAUCUGACAUCGCUCCAGCAGGGAUACCAUAUCUAAACUUCAGAGGGAGACCCCCAGUUUUGUAAGUGGAACUAUCUCCCUUGGGAGUUGCAUCUACGGUGACUUUUAUUGCACUUUUCGGCGCAGCCUUGGUGCUCUUGAUAGGUU
This 8128-nucleotide long non-coding RNA is filed under the name Brassica napus (rape). Its description in RNAcentral is "long non-coding RNA (BNAP_LNC024158)". The record is from RNAcentral. Lineage: Eukaryota; Viridiplantae; Streptophyta; Magnoliopsida; Brassicales; Brassicaceae.